GUUUGUUCAGAAAUUCGAGGGACAGGAGGAUGUACAAGUUUAACAAAAUCUUUAAGACAGAAACUUCCAGAGAAGUGAGCAGGUGUAGGUGUGAAACACCAGCACCCCAGUGGCAGUGGUUUCCUGUGGGCAGGCUAGGGAUGUGCCAGGCCUGCCAUUCUGUUUUGCAGAAUUUCCACCCAAGCCACACAGAGGCUUUACCUUGCCCACCAAAGGUGUGAGCAGAUGAAGACAGCAAGGUCCCCAGCAAGACGUUUCUCUGACACACUUCAUGGAAUGGAUCUCUGCUUUGUUUUCAGAAAUGCAAAUUUUUAAAAAUUAAUUUUAUUGGAACAUUUAAGGAUAAUGGGAUUUAUUAAGGCCAUUCAUCCUGAAGUCACAUGGAAAGUGCCACGUUUGAAUGAUGAAACGCAAGCCUGAAUAUCCAAAAAGCACUAGAACUCCCUUCCCAGGAAAACUGCCUUUCAAACCUUUAAAAUGAUGCCCUUUAAGGAGAACACAAACUAUCCCUGUGAUGUAGCCAUAAAGCAGAAGUAGAAAACACAACAGCUCAAUUUAAGAAAAUGUGAAAAUUACAUGGCCCUGGUGAAAUCCCAGACACAGAGUCAAGUGAAAACAGCUGUGGAUACAAAGGCCAUGUGGACAGUGGGAGGCUAGGUGUCUCGAGGGGGCGAGGAAGGAAUUCUGGCUGUGGAGCCCCUGUGCACUUGCGGAGGGCCAGUCACGUCGCAUGCUGCUGGCACUGAGCAGGUGUUGGUCACUUAGAUGACACCGGUGGCUGAAGCCCCCAACACUGUGCUGACCGAUGGGAGCAGGACUCAGACAGGAGCACAGGCAGACCUGCAGGAAGACCCUAUGGCACAGGAAGCAGAAGAGCCAGUCACCACGUGCUGCAAGUGUGGUGGCUCCUGUGAGCCUCCGGGUUGGUGAGGAUGAGACAGAGCAGGCACAGACUGCGCACAUCUCCGCCUCCUCGGCACCUGUGAAAGCCGGGCUGGUGAAUGCGUCCUCUCCAGCUCUCUCUCUCUGACAUUGCACUGGCAUGAGACAGAAAUUCUAUGCAGGAAUCAGGGUCCUCGUUCAGAUAAACGCACCCCACCCUGUCCAGAGUCACCGGCGGGUGGACAUAGGGCGGAGCUUCCACAAACAGGAAGCAACACGGCCAACCACGGGUGUCUGCAAGCAUUGACCCCUGGCUGUGUGCUGGCCCUGUUCUGGAGUGAGAGCCCUGCUAAGGCAGGCCCUCUAGCUGCCCGCGGUCGACCUGGCUGGAUGGGGGGACUUAAGGGACCUGUUCUAGCUGUGCCAGCCCCACGGGCUGCUCUCCCCGGGGACAGCUUCGCAGCCUGUCAGUUGCACCAGCGGCCGCCUCUGCAGCCCAAGGCACCCGACUGAACGCCCUCAAGUCCCAGUCAGAAGAAAAACUAUGCCUGGGAGAAAACGCAAGAUGAGUACGACUCCUCUUGCUUUAAUUAAGUUUGAUCGGAGGUUGUGCUGCAUCUAGGAAAGCCAGAGCCAAUUUUCGCAGUGUGGUUUGCAAAGCAAAGGCGUGUCUUCGAAGACUACAGGAGAACACAUGUCCUAAACGUGGCCCGGGGUUACCGAGCUGUACCUUCAGGCAGUUCACAUGGAGAGCAAAUGCUCUGCGGCUCCUAGGGGCUCAGGCUCCAAACCAGAGCAAAUCGUCUGCUUUUCAAUUCCUGGCAGCUCAGAUUCUCCUGCUAGCUUGGAAGAUGCCCGGCGUGGGUCCAGCUCCCCAGGGCAGACGUCCGGGACGUGUAAUCUGGAUCCAGGAUCAGAUCUUCGCCAGCUCUCCAGACCACUGCCCUGCUGCCUGUCCUGCAGACCCAAGGUGACCAGUUAGCCUGGAAAGGUGGCAUCAGAGGAGGCCAAACUCAGGACUGAGCACCCGGCAAGGGAGUCAAGAUGGUGGCUGUGGAGGGGCCACCUCAGUUCACUGCUGUGGGAGAGGACAGGAGCAUGCAGAGUCUUCUGCAGAGCAGCGUCAGAGUAGCAUCAAUUUCUUUAAAUUAAAUACAUUAAUUUAAAUUAAUAUGCACAGUUAUUUACUUUCUGCUGAUGGAUGGAAGCAAAGGUCAUGAUUUGUUAAAGAGCUGAUGAAAGUUAAGAGUUUUCCACAAAAAAGUGCAUACAGGGAUACACCAAUAGUUUUGCAUAAAAUAUGCAAACAUAUAUGUAAAAUAAAUUUUUUCUUCUGUAGGGCAGCCAUAAUACUAUAUAUAAAAGACCUAACAAUAAAACAUUGAAAAACACAAGAGAAUUUUGAGAAAUAUGAAAUGAGCUAAAGGAAUACCUAAGUAAUUAAGAAGACAUCCACUUCUCUGGAUGUGAAGAAUCCGUACUGGUGGCCGUGGCGUCGGCAUUGAGCGGGGAGUCUGGUGCAAGAGAUUGUAUGAGAUGGUGUAUGAGAUUUGACAAGGUGUGGGGUGGCAUUCCUGCUGGUGUUCCACAUCAAAUGUCAUGUUUGCUGGGGUAUUCUGUUUUAGGCACAUACAGAUGGGAAUGUGAAGAGACAUAUUCACUACAUACAUUACAUACAUACAUUGUAUUAGUCAGCUUUCUCAUUGAUGCACACAGUACCAAAACCCACAGCUUAAAGGAGGAGAAGUGCAACUUGGCUCAUUUUUUGAAGGGAUUCAAUCCAAGGUCAGCUGGCUCCAAGGCAAGAACAUCAUGGCGGAAGGGUCUGGUGGAGCAAAGAUGCUUCGUUCAUGGUGGCCAGGAAGCUGAGCAGGGGAAUAGGCCAGAGAGGAAGGGUCCUAGGGCCAGAUCUAGAUCCCAAGAGCACACCCCCAUGACCUACUCAGACACAGCUAAAGUGUGUUCCACUUUGGGAUCAGAUCCCAAAGCCAAUCAAGGUGACACCCCACCCUAACCUCUAUAGCUAUGUAUCAACAUACACAUGUAUAUACACAUAAAAGUCAGAUAACAUGGAGAUGGAGGCAAUAAACAGAGAAAGUUGAAAAUCUGCAGCCUAACUCACUUUAUUUGUCAGCUUUCCAGUCACUGGGAUACAAUACUGGACACCAACAAAUUAUAAGGAGGACAGGUUUAAUUUGGCUCAGGGUUUGGGGGAUUCAGUCCACGGUCAGCUGGCUCCAAGGCAGAAAUAUGGUGGAAGGGAUAGCCAAAGAAAGCUGCUGCUCACCGCAUGGCGGCCAGGAAACAGAGAGAGGGGAGGAGCCAGGGACAGCAAUCCACCCUUCCUGGCCACACUCCAGUGACCACCUCCAAUCAGACCCCACCCCCAACAGCACAUUCAUCCAUGAACUUAUCCACGACUAACCUACUGACGAGUACAGUGCUCCUAAGACCCUAUCACCUUCCAAAAGCCCACCUCUGAAUACAUGAGACUUCGGG
Heterocephalus glaber (naked mole-rat) is the source of this 3381-nucleotide long non-coding RNA. The record is from Ensembl. Lineage: Eukaryota; Metazoa; Chordata; Mammalia; Rodentia; Bathyergidae.